UCUGUAGUGGCAGAGAGAGUGCACUAGCUUUAAGCGCUAGAAAUGGAUUUACCCUCAGAUUAU
RNAcentral lists this transfer RNA (63 nucleotides) under Caligus clemensi. RNAcentral describes it as "tRNA-Leu". Lineage: Eukaryota; Metazoa; Arthropoda; Copepoda; Siphonostomatoida; Caligidae. The record is from RNAcentral.